AACUUUCAGCAAUUUUAGCCCAUUGAGUGUGUCUUGGUAAGUUGGUAAGAUAGCAAAAAGCAAGGUUGAAUUCAGUCUUCACCAAAGACAAGCAAGGGCUUAUCUCAUCUUUUACCCAGAUCAGUUCCAUUUCUUUUUUAGGAUAUAAAACAUAGUGACCAUUGGGAGAGGCACAUAAUUUCAAUAAGCAACUACAUAAUCUCUUUUCUACAACAAAAUUGAAAAACAAAAAAAUCAUACUGCAGUUUUAAAGUAACAUACAGCUCUAGAUAUCUCUAACACAAGAAAAGAAAUGUUACUCACCUUUAUUGCUUUCAUUCUUGGAAG
RNAcentral lists this unclassified non-coding RNA (327 nucleotides) under Hevea brasiliensis (rubber tree). The record is from RNAcentral. Lineage: Eukaryota; Viridiplantae; Streptophyta; Magnoliopsida; Malpighiales; Euphorbiaceae.